UUUCGGCUAACUGCGGCUCGCCUUGCAUUGUUGCUUGGUUAGUGGUUGUUUGUUGGGUGGUCUCGGGGAUGCCUACCGUAAAGGUGCAUGAGUGGUGUUUGGUUUGUUACGGGUGGUUGGCUCUUUGCUUGCGCAACAACUUCCACCUGGCUUACCUCUUCAGUAUGCUGUCAACGCUUGUUUGCUAUGACCGUCUUGUGGGUUUCCUGUGUUGCAUUCCUAAUUGCUGGUAUCGUAUGAUGAAUUGAAUUUAUUCGUCUUGCGUCGCGCAAGUGAAGCGAGAUGUACUAGGAAGCGGCCUUUGUAAUCCACUCUUUCGAUCUUGAUCGCAUUGAUUUUGUGGCUCACUGAGUGUUGCUUGGCCUCAUUGAUAUGGAACGCUUGCGUGGGCAUGGGAUCUUUUAUUAGUUCCUUGUUUGCCCUAGUUAAGCUUUUCUAAAACGAUUUCUUAUCACGUUUCGGCGUGGUAGGCUUAUCGAAUAUGAAUG
RNAcentral lists this unclassified non-coding RNA (488 nucleotides) under Chthonocephalus pseudevax. RNAcentral describes it as "partial external transcribed spacer". Lineage: Eukaryota; Viridiplantae; Streptophyta; Magnoliopsida; Asterales; Asteraceae. The record is from RNAcentral.